Long non-coding RNA from Oncorhynchus keta (chum salmon), 582 nucleotides. RefSeq lists it as uncharacterized. The transcript has 5 exons. The record is from RefSeq and is a predicted model, not a curated record. NCBI's taxonomy places the organism in Eukaryota, Metazoa, Chordata, Actinopteri, Salmoniformes, Salmonidae.
UCAGUAGCAGUGGUAGGAGGAGGGCUCUGAUGCUGAUGAGGUCUGUCAGUAGCAGUGGUAGGAGGAGGCCUCUGAUGAGGUCUGUCAGUAGCAGUGGUAGGAGGAGGGCUCUGAUGAGGUCUGUCAGUAGCAGUGGUAGGAGGAGGGCUCUGAUGAGGUCUGUCAGUAGCAGUGGUAGGAGGAGGGUUCUGAUGAGGUCUGUCAGUUCCAGUGGUAGGAGGAGGGCUCUGAUGAGGUCUGUCAGUAGCAGUGGUAGGAGGAGGUCUCUGAUGAGGUCUGUCAGUAGCAGUGGUAGGAGGAGGGCUCUGAUGAGGUCUGUCAGUAGCAGUGGUAGGAGGAGGGCUCUGAUGAGGUCUGUCAGUAGCAGUGGUAGGAGGAGGGCUCUGAUGAGGUCUGUCAGUAGCAGUGGUAGGAGGAGGGCUCUGAUGAGGUCUGUCAGUAGCAGUGGUAGGAGGAGGGCUCUGAUGAGGUCUGUCAGUAGCAGUGGUAGGAGGAGGGCUCUGAUGAGGUCUGUCAGUACCAGUGGUAGGAGGAGGGCUCUGACGUUGAUGAGGUCUGUCAGUACCAGUGGUAGGAGGAGGG